This 455-nucleotide long non-coding RNA is filed under the name Salmo salar (Atlantic salmon). RNAcentral describes it as "lncRNA (ENSSSAG00000106242.1)". Lineage: Eukaryota; Metazoa; Chordata; Actinopteri; Salmoniformes; Salmonidae. The record is from RNAcentral.
GGUACCAGUACCUCUACAGUAGGAUCCGUUGUAGGGCCAUCAGUAGUAGAGGUGUCCGGUCCUGACCCAGAGGCUUCAAUACGAGCCACACUGAGGAAAUCACUGAUUGGAUCCUUCUCCUUCCUGUCCUCGUCCCCAGCCUGGCCAGACACAUCCCACCUGGACCUCUUCCCUGGCUCAGAGGGCUUCACACCUACACAGAGAGGGACAGAGAGACGUAGGGGCCAGGUUUACACAGAGAGGGACAGAGAGACGUAGGGGCCAGGUUUACACAGAGAGGGACAGAGAGACGAAGGGCCCAGGUUUACACAGAGAGGGACAGAGAGAGACGUAGGGGCCAGGUUUACACAGAGAGGGACAGAGAGAGACGUAGGGGCCAGGUUUACACAGAGAGGGACAGAGAGAGACGUAGGGGCCAGGUUUACACAGAGAGGGACAGAGAGACGAAGGGCCCA